AGUGAACGCUGGCGGUAGGCCUAACACAUGCAAGUCGAACGGCAGCACAGUAAGAGCUUGCUCUUACGGGUGGCGAGUGGCGGACGGGUGAGGAAUACAUCGGAAUCUACUUUUUCGUGGGGGAUAACGUAGGGAAACUUACGCUAAUACCGCAUACGACCUACGGGGGAAAGCAGGGGAUCUUCGGACCUUGCGCGAUUGAAUUAGCCGAUGUCGGAUUAGCUAGUUGGCGGGGUAAAGGCCCACCAAGGCGACGAUCCGUAGCUGGUCUGAGAGGAUGAUCAGCCACACUGGAGCUGAGACACGGUCCAGACUCCUACGGGAGGCAGCAGUGGGGACUAUUGGACAAUGGGCGCAAGCCUGAUCCAGCCAUACCGCGUGGGUGAAGAAGGCCUUCGGGUUGUAAAGCCCUUUUGUUGGGAAAGAAAAGCAGCAGGUUAAUACCCCGCUGUUCUGACGGUACCCAAAGAAUAAGCACCGGCUAACUUCGU
RNAcentral lists this ribosomal RNA (491 nucleotides) under uncultured bacterium. Its description in RNAcentral is "partial 16S ribosomal RNA". It matches the Rfam family "Bacterial small subunit ribosomal RNA", at positions 29 to 506 of the family's 1533-position model. The record is from RNAcentral.